GACGAACGCUGGCGGCGUGCUUAACACAUGCAAGUCGAACGGAAAGGCCCUGCUUUUGUGGGGUGCUCGAGUGGCGAACGGGUGAGUAACACGUGAGUAACCUACCCUUGACUUUGGGAUAAAUUCAGGAAACUGGGGCUAAUACCGGAUAGGAGCUCCUGCUGCAUGGUGGGGGUUGGAAAGUUUCGGCGUUUGGGGAUGGACUCGCGGCUUAUCAGCUUGUUGGUGAGGUAGUGGGUUAACAAGGCUUUGACGGGUAGCCGGCCUGGGAGGGUGACCGGCCACAAUGGGACUGAGGUACGGCCCAGAGUGCUACGGGAGGCAGCAGUGGAGAAUAUUGCACGAUGGGCGGAAUCCUGAAGCAGCAACUCCGCGUGCUGGAUGACGGCCUUCGGGUUGGAAACCGCUUUCGCCUGUGACGAAGCGUGAGUGACGGUAAUGGGUAAAGAAGCACCGGCUAACUACGUG
This 468-nucleotide ribosomal RNA is filed under the name uncultured bacterium. RNAcentral's name for it is "partial 16S ribosomal RNA". It matches the Rfam family "Bacterial small subunit ribosomal RNA", at positions 28 to 507 of the family's 1533-position model. The record is from RNAcentral.